CUAUGAGACGCGCUUGGGUCUUGGCAUGUGAACAGGCCUUGGUGUGAAGAAGGUUGGGGCGGAAGCGCCUCCAGCCCCAGUGGAGCUUGUCCUCCCGGAUGCAGCUGGUUUCGAGCAACACCUCAACAUGGCCCUUCAUCCCUGCCAGGGCAAAGCUGACGGGAACAGCUGGGAGGACCAUACUUGGAUGCCAUCACUGACUGGGCAGAAGACUCAACAGAUGCUAGGAAUAUUCUCAGAUCUUGGCAGCUCUGCAGCAAGCACAGGAUGGUUCUUGGAUGGCAGGUGUCCCUGGAUGGAGUCCAGGCUGCAGUUGGCCGAGGUUUCACAUUUUCACCUGCGGUGCUGGCGUGAGGGCUUCCACCACUGUUUUUGCGGUUGUUUCUACAGGAAGGCCAAGGUUGGGUAAAGGUCGGGGCUGGCACAGAAAUGAUGUCAGAAGCUGCAAGACAUAGGGUUGCUUUUACAAACAUGCAUGCAUUUAAUCUAGCAGCCUCUCACCUGUAGUAUCCCUCAACCUAUCUUGGAAAUUGUAGCACUCAUUGACUCUCAACCGGAGGCGAUUUUGCCUCCCAGGGGACAUUUAGCAAUGCCAGGAGAUAUUUCUGAUUGCCAAAAUUGCCGGAGGCAAUGCUGCUGGCAUCAGUCGAUAGAGACCAGGCAUGCUGCUAAACAUCCUACAACGCACAGGACCGCUCCCCCUAACAAAGAAUUAUCCGGUCCAAAAUGUCAUUAGUGCCAAGGUUGAGAGAAACCCCAUUUUAUAUUUCAAGAAAUCCAGCUCUUUGCUCAGCAGGUCACUUGACAUCCUACUACUCAAAGUGUGCCUCCAGACUUCAUCAGCCUCAUGUAGGGGCUUGUGAGAAAUGCAGACGCUCAGGACCCCGUUCCACACACACUGUGUCAAGAUCUGCGUUUUAAGAUCCCUAGGUGAACACAGACAGACAUUUGCACACUGAUAUUCGUAGUGGCAUUAUUCACAAUUGCCAAAAUAUGGACACAACCCAAGUGUCCAUCAACCCAUGAACUGAUAAACAAAAUGUGGUAUAUACGUACGAUGGAAUGUUAUUCAGCUAUAAGAGGAAAUGACAACAUGGAUGAACCUUAAGGACAUUAUGUUGAGUGAAAUGACCCAGAUACAAAAGGACAAAUAUUGUGUGAUCUCACUAAUAAGAGCUAAUUAUAAUAGGCAAACCUGGAGUUAAAAUUUCGAGUAUAGGUACCAGGAGAUGGAAUGAGGGUAGAGAAUGGGGAGCUGAUGCUUAAUCUGUGCAAAAUAUUUAAUUAGAUUGAUUGUAAAUGUUUGAAAAUGGAUAGAGGCAUUGGUAGCAAAUUACUGUAAGUGUAAUUAACAGCACUUAAUUAUGUGUGUGAUUGAGGUUGACACGGUUGUGUAUGUCACUAGAAGGAGAGCUAGAGGAUAAAACAUGGGAUUGCACAACAUAGUGAACCCUGUUGUGGACAAUUACUGUGGUUAAUAGUACAAAUAUAAGAAUGUUCUUUCAUGAACUAUAACAAAUGUAUGACACUAUUACAAGGUAUUAAUAAUAGGGUGGUCUAUUUGAAAAAAUACAGCUAAUGCAAACCAUAACUAUAGUUAACAGUAAUAUUUUAGUAUUAUUUCAUUAAUUGUAACAAAGGUACCUCACCAAUGUUAAAUGUCAAUAAUAUGGGAUAUAAAGUGUAUGAGGUUUUGCUUUUUGGAGCAAUGAAAAUGUUUUAAAACUGAUUGUGGUGAUGAAUGCACAACUCUGUGAUUAUAUUGAGAGCCAUUGAUUGUACACUUUGGAUAGAUUGUAUGGUAUGUGAAUAUAUCUCAAUAAAACUGCUUAAAAAAAGAUCCCUAUGUGACCUAUAUGCACAUUCAGUUUUGAGAAAUAUUGAGUAAUGUUCUCUAAGCAUUAGAGUGCAAGACAGUGUGACAAAUGCUUCAGAGGCACCAAGUAGAGACUUAGAACUUUUAAAUUUACAAAAACUCACUUGUUCACCAUCUGUAUUUUUUCAUUUUCAAUAAAAUAUCUUCCACUUUUUUGCUCCUUCUACCCCUUUCUCUUCUAGUUACUCUGUUUCAUCAAAGCUGCAUCCAUUUGUCUUCAUUCCACACGUGUCCAUUGCUUUCCUCGAUCUUUACUUUUGAAUCACUCUUGAUACCAAAAGGAGAAGAAUGGGCAGACACUUAUCUCUUUAAUUAAAGUAAAUUGUCCUAGAGGGAAAAGUGGGUAGAAUCUAGAAGAGCCAUACUCUCUGAAACCUGAUAAAACAAAAUUAAAUUCAACCUUUCUGCUCCGAGCCUUUGGUGGUAAGAUAUUAAAAAGGAAGGCAAUAAAGCUCAUCCAGUACUAAUUUAAUCAGAAGCCUGUUCAGUCAGUCUCUUUGAUAUACCUUUUGUCAACCUAGCUUUAGGUUUUGAAUAGGCAAUCUAAAACUCUCGAAAUUUACUAAAUUGACUUAUCAGGAAAUUUCUGCUGAAACUAGGUAUAAUAAUAGAACUGAUUAAAAAUAAAGUUUAGUCUGUGCACCAUGCCAACAUACCAUAAAAUUUUGGAGUCUUUUAGAUAUCUUAUUUAGAAAUUUUGUCUCUUUUAUUAAAUGUUUGCUGGUGUCCAGUUUGUCAUCAUUAACUCUCUUUUUCUCUACGUAAAGGAAAAACUAAAAUUUUAAAUAAAGGAAAUUUCAGUUCAAUUUGAUAAACGUUUACUGAGCAUCUACUGUUUACAAGAAGCCGGAAUAAGAAUUGUGGAAGAUUAAAAGUAAUUAAGAUAUAAUCUUUGCCUUAGUUUAUACCUGGUAUGU
Dasypus novemcinctus (nine-banded armadillo) is the source of this 2793-nucleotide long non-coding RNA. The record is from Ensembl. NCBI's taxonomy places the organism in Eukaryota, Metazoa, Chordata, Mammalia, Cingulata, Dasypodidae.